RNAcentral lists this ribosomal RNA (1244 nucleotides) under Candidatus Phytoplasma solani. RNAcentral describes it as "bacterial SSU rRNA". It matches the Rfam family "Bacterial small subunit ribosomal RNA", at positions 145 to 1391 of the family's 1533-position model. Lineage: Bacteria; Bacillati; Mycoplasmatota; Mollicutes; Acholeplasmatales; Acholeplasmataceae. The record is from RNAcentral.
AACAGUUGGAAACGACUGCUAAGACUGGAUAGGAGAUAAGAAGGCAUCUUUUUAUUUUUAAAAGACCUAGCAAUAGGUAUGCUUAGGGAAGAGCUUGCGUCACAUUAGUUAGUUGGUGGGGUAAUGGCCUACCAAGACGAUGAUGUGUAGCCGGGCUGAGAGGUCGAACGGCCACAUUGGGACUGAGACACGGCCCAAACUCCUACGGGAGGCAGCAGUAAGGAAUUUUCGGCAAUGGAGGAAACUCUGACCGAGCAAUGCCGCGUGAACGAUGAAGUAUUUCGGUACGUAAAGUUCUUUUAUUAGGGAAGAAAAGAUGGUGGAAAAACCAUUAUGACGGUACCUAAUGAAUAAGCCCCGGCUAACUAUGUGCCAGCAGCCGCGGUAAUACAUAGGGGGCAAGCGUUAUCCGGAAUUAUUGGGCGUAAAGGGUGCGUAGGCGGUUAAAUAAGUUUAUGGUCUAAGUGCAACGCUCAACGUUGUGAUGCUAUAAAAACUGUUUAGCUAGAGUUGGAUAGAGGCAAGUGGAAUUCCGUGUGUAGUGGUAAAAUGCGUAAAUAUACGGAGGAACACCAGAAGCGAAGGCGGCUUGCUGGGUCUUAACUGACGCUGAGGCACGAAAGCGUGGGGAGCAAACAGGAUUAGAUACCCUGGUAGUCCACGCCCUAAACGAUGAGUACUAAACGUUGGAUAAAACCAGUGUUGAAGUUAACACAUUAAGUACUCCGCCUGAGUAGUACGUACGCAAGUAUGAAACUUAAAGGAAUUGACGGGACUCCGCACAAGCGGUGGAUCAUGUUGUUUAAUUCGAAGGUACCCGAAAAACCUCACCAGGUCUUGACAUGCUUUUGCAAAGCUGUAGAAAUACAGUGGAGGUUAUCAGAAGCACAGGUGGUGCAUGGUUGUCGUCAGCUCGUGUCGUGAGAUGUUGGGUUAAGUCCCGCAACGAGCGCAACCCUUGUUGUUAAUUGCCAUCAUUAAGUUGGGGACUUUAGCAAGACUGCCAAUGAUAAAUUGGAGGAAGGUGGGGACGACGUCAAAUCAUCAUGCCCCUUAUGACCUGGGCUACAAACGUGAUACAAUGGCUGUUACAAAGGGUAGCUAAAGCGUAAGCUUCUGGCGAAUCUCAAAAAAGCAGUCUCAGUUCGGAUUGAAGUCUGCAACUCGACUUCAUGAAGUUGGAAUCGCUAGUAAUCGCGAAUCAGCAUGUCGCGGUGAAUACGUUCUCGGGGUUUGUACACACC